UGACGCAGAUGCUAGUCUCGAAGAUUUAGCCAUGCAUGCUUGUGAUAUGAACGGCGAACGGCUCAGUAAUGCUGCGAUGAUCUGCUCUCUGCGGGGGAUAACCACGGGAAACAGUGGCUAAGGCGGAGAAUGAGACGCAGCCCUAUCAGCUUGUUGGUAGUGUAACGGACUACCAAGGCGAUGACGGGUAACGGGGGACGAGGGUCUGAUACCGGAGAGGGCGCCUGAGAGAUGGCGCCCACGUCCAUGGACGGCAGCAGGCGCGGAACUUGCCCACUCUUUUUGGGAGGCAGUUAAGAGACGACGGCAGGACAAACGAGUGCCGGGAGAUUGGAGGGCAAGGCUGGUGCCAGCAGCCGCGGUAACACCAGCUCCAAGAGUGUCUGUGGUGGAUGCUGCAGUUAAAGAGUCCGUAGUCGAUACAGCUGGGAUGGUCUCUGAUUGAGGGGGAACGGCCUGCUGGAGAUGGCGGAGCGGACGGAGUGCGUAGAAUGCAUGGGCGAGCGAUGGAAUGCCAGGACCCCAUGUGGACUAGCGGAGGCGAAGGCGACGCACGAGUACGGAUCUGCGGAUCAAGGACGAAGGCCGGAGGAGCGAAAGCGAU
RNAcentral lists this ribosomal RNA (604 nucleotides) under uncultured Microsporidium. Its description in RNAcentral is "bacterial SSU rRNA". It matches the Rfam family "Microsporidia small subunit ribosomal RNA", at positions 19 to 661 of the family's 1311-position model. Lineage: Eukaryota; Fungi; Microsporidia. The record is from RNAcentral.